This 840-nucleotide ribosomal RNA is filed under the name uncultured Flavobacteriales bacterium. RNAcentral describes it as "bacterial SSU rRNA". It matches the Rfam family "Bacterial small subunit ribosomal RNA", at positions 68 to 902 of the family's 1533-position model. Lineage: Bacteria; Pseudomonadati; Bacteroidota; Flavobacteriia; Flavobacteriales. The record is from RNAcentral.
CAGCAUGUCCCGUAGCAAUACGGGAUGAUGGCGACCGGCAAACGGGUGCGGAACACGUACACAACCUUCCUUUAAGUGGGGAAUAGCCCGGGGAAACCCGGAUUAAUACCCCGUAACAUAUUGACUCGGCAUCGGGUUAAUAUUAUAGCUCCGGCGCUUAAUGAUGGGUGUGCGCCUGAUUAGGUAGUUGGCGGGGUAAUGGCCCACCAAGCCUUCGAUCAGUAACUGGUGUGAGAGCACGACCAGUCACACGGGCACUGAGACACGGGCCCGACUCCUACGGGAGGCAGCAGUAAGGAAUAUUGGUCAAUGGACGCAAGUCUGAACCAGCCAUGCCGCGUGGAGGAUGAAGGUCCUCUGGAUUGUAAACUUCUUUUAUCUGGGACGAAAAAGGGUCUUUCUAGACCACCUGACGGUACCAGAUGAAUAAGCACCGGCUAACUCCGUGCCAGCAGCCGCGGUAAUACGGAGGGUGCAAGCGUUAUCCGGAUUCACUGGGUUUAAAGGGUGCGUAGGUGGGUCUGUAAGUCAGUGGUGAAAUCCCCGAGCUUAACUUGGGAACUGCCAUUGAUACUAUAGAUCUUGAAUACUGUGGAGGUCAGCGGAAUAUGUCAUGUAGCGGUGAAAUGCUUAGAUAUGACAUAGAACACCAAUUGCGAAGGCAGCUGGCUACACAAAUAUUGACACUGAGGCACGAAAGCGUGGGGAUCAAACAGGAUUAGAUACCCUGGUAGUCCACGCCCUAAGCUAUGGAUACUCGACAUUUGCGAUACACUGCAAGUGUCUGAGCGAAAGCAUUAAGUAUCCCACCUGGGAAGUACGAUCGCAAGAUUGAAACUC